Molecule: ribosomal RNA, 492 nt
Filed under: uncultured bacterium
Lineage: Bacteria
Description: partial 16S ribosomal RNA
Rfam family: Bacterial small subunit ribosomal RNA
Source: RNAcentral
AGUGAACGCUGGCGGUAGGCCUAACACAUGCAAGUCGAACGGCAGCACAGUAAGAGCUUGCUCUUACGGGUGGCGAGUGGCGGACGGGUGAGGAAUACAUCGGAAUCUACUUUUUCGUGGGGGAUAACGUAGGGAAACUUACGCUAAUACCGCAUACGACCUACGGGUGAAAGCAGGGGAUCUUCGGACCUUGCGCGAUUGAAUGAGCCGAUGUCGGAUUAGCUAGUUGGCGGGUUAAAGGCCCACCAAGGCGACGAUCCGUAGCUGGUCUGAGAGGAUGAUCAGCCACACUGGAACUGAGACACGGUCCAGACUCCUACGGGAGGCAGCAGUGGGGAAUAUUGGACGAUGGGCGCAAGCCUGAUCCAGCCAUACCGCGUGGGUGAAGAAGGCCUUCGGGUUGUAAAGCCCUUUUGUUGGGAAAGAAAAGCAGCAGGUUAAUACCCCGCUGUUCUGACGGUACCCAAAGAAUAAGCACCGGCUAACUUCGUG